UUUUUUUUUUAUUGUGGCGGUUUUGGGGAUUCGUAUUUCUUAAAAUUACAAGUGAUCAUAGUUGAAUAUAGCUUCUUUGGUAUUUCAGCUAGUGAUUAAAUUUAUUAGCAGUAGAUCAAGAACAAUAUAUAUUCGUCCUGUUCUUUUGAUUUAUAGACGAUCCUCUUUUUUUUGGGUAGCUUGAUUCAUAUACGAUUUUUGCCAUACCUUAUUAUGGUGCUAAUUUCUGACAAAUGCUUAAUGUAGAUCUAAGUAAGCCAUUUUGUAUGAUUUCCAGAAAUAGAAUGAGUCUUAUGAUUCAAAAUGAAUUAGUGGUGGACUUAUUUUUUUAUUUUAUUGGUUUCGAAUGGAG
Molecule: unclassified non-coding RNA, 352 nt
Filed under: Hevea brasiliensis (rubber tree)
Lineage: Eukaryota; Viridiplantae; Streptophyta; Magnoliopsida; Malpighiales; Euphorbiaceae
Source: RNAcentral